UACGGAGGGUGCAAGCGUUAUCCGGAUUCACUGGGUUUAAAGGGUGCGUAGGCGGGCAGGUAAGUCAGUGGUGAAAUCUUCAAGCUUAACCUGGAAACUGCCAUUGAUACUAUCUGUCUUGAAUGUUCUGGAGGUUAGCGGAAUAUGUCAUGUAGCGGUGAAAUGCUUAGAUAUGACACAGAACACCGAUUGCGAAGGCAGCUCACUAAACUGUUACUGACACUGAGGCACGAAAGCGUGGGGAUCAAACAGG
RNAcentral lists this ribosomal RNA (253 nucleotides) under uncultured bacterium. RNAcentral's name for it is "partial 16S ribosomal RNA". It matches the Rfam family "Bacterial small subunit ribosomal RNA", at positions 524 to 776 of the family's 1533-position model. The record is from RNAcentral.